Molecule: long non-coding RNA, 455 nt
Filed under: Gossypium barbadense (sea-island cotton)
Lineage: Eukaryota; Viridiplantae; Streptophyta; Magnoliopsida; Malvales; Malvaceae
Description: long non-coding RNA (GBAR_LNC010705)
Source: RNAcentral
GGGGGUGUAUACGGUUGGAUAUGGUUGGGUUUCUGCAUAAACAUGUAAUAUCUGUUCUAUUCUGUUAUGGGCCUAUGGGCUUUAUUUUGAAUUCUGUUCUGGGCUAAGGCCAACUUAUUCUAUUUCUGUGGUUUAAGCUGAUAUAGGCUAUGGUUGGGUUAAUUUACACACUGAGUUUCCCCAAACUCACCCCUUUUAUUUUCAUCCACGCAGGUAAUCCCCAACCAUAGUGGGCUUGGAGCUGUGAGGGAAUUCGAAGUGGCCACCUGUUCUGAAAGUUUGAUUUUCUUCUGGUGAACUGGACAUCCUUUUAUUUACGUUUGAAGUUUUGAGUUUUUAAAUGUAAUAAGGCCGCUUAUUUUUUUUGAUGGUUUUUUUUAUAUGUAUUACUAAGAUAGGUAAUACUUAUUUUAACUGUUGAAAUUGGAUAGCUUUAGGGCGCAUUUUCAAAAAAC